Molecule: ribosomal RNA, 994 nt
Filed under: uncultured bacterium
Lineage: Bacteria
Description: bacterial SSU rRNA
Rfam family: Bacterial small subunit ribosomal RNA
Source: RNAcentral
GCGUGCGGGAUGACGGCCUUCGGGUUGUAAACCGCUUUCGCCUGUGACGAAGCGUGAGUGACGGUAAUGGGUAAAGAAGCACCGGCUAACUACGUGCCAGCAGCCGCGGUGAUACGUAGGGUGCGAGCGUUGUCCGGAUUUAUUGGGCGUAAAGGGCUCGUAGGUGGUUGAUCGCGUCGGAAGUGUAAUCUUGGGGCUUAACCCUGAGCGUGCUUUCGAUACGGGUUGACUUGAGGAAGGUAGGGGAGAAUGGAAUUCCUGGUGGAGCGGUGGAAUGCGCAGAUAUCAGGAGGAACACCAGUGGCGAAGGCGGUUCUCUGGGCCUUUCCUGACGCUGAGGAGCGAAAGCGUGGGGAGCGAACAGGCUUAGAUACCCUGGUAGUCCACGCUGUAAACGGUGGGUAAUAGGUGUGGGGUCCAUUCCACGGGAUCCGUGCCGUAGCUACGCCUUAAGUACCCCCGCCUGGGGAGUACGGCCGCAAAGCUAAAACUCAAAGGAAUUGACGGGGCCCCGCACAAGCGGCGGAGCAUGCGGAUUAAUUCGAUGCAACGCGUAGAACCUUACCUGGGUUUGACAUGGAUCGGGAGUGCUCAGAGAUGGGUGUGCCUCUUUUGGGGUCGGUUCACAGGUGGUGCAUGGCUGUCGUCAGCUCGUGUCGUGAGAUGUUGGGUUAAGUCCCGCAACGAGCGCAACCCUUGUUCACUGUUGCCAGCACGUUAUGGUGGGGACUCAGUGGAGACCGCCGGGGUCAACUCGGAGGAAGGUGGGGAUGACGUCAAGUCAUCAUGCCCCUUAUGUCCAGGGCUUCACGCAUGCUACAAUGGCUGGUACAGAGAGUGGCGAGCCUGUGAGGGUGAGCGAAUCUCGGAAAGCCGGUCUCAGUUCGGAUUGGGGUCUGCAACUCGACCUCAUGAAGUCGGAGUCGCUAGUAAUCGCAGAUCAGCAACGCUGCGGUGAAUACGUUCCCGGGGCUUGUACUCACCGCCCGUCAAG